GUGCCUUCGGGAACCGUGAGACAGGUGCUGCAUGGCUGUCGUCAGCUCGUGUUGUGAAAUGUUGGGUUAAGUCCCGCAACGAGCGCAACCCUUAUCCUUUGUUGCCAGCGGUCAGGCCGGGAACUCAAAGGAGACUGCCAGUGAUAAACUGGAGGAAGGUGGGGAUGACGUCAAGUCAUCAUGGCCCUUACGACCAGGGCUACACACGUGCUACAAUGGCGCAUACAAAGAGAAGCGACCUCGCGAGAGCAAGCGGACCUCAUAAAGUGCGUCGUAGUCCGGAUUGGAGUCUGCAACUCGACUCCAUGAAGUCGGAAUCGCUAGUAAUCGUGGAUCAGAAUGCCACGGUGAAUACGUUCCCGGGCCUUGUACACACCGCCCGUCACACCAUGGGAGUGGGUUGCAAAAGAAGUAGGUAGCUUAACCUUCGGGAGGGCGCUUACCACUUUGUGAUUCAUGACUGGGGUGAAGUCGUAACAAGGUAACCGUAGGGGAACCUGCGGUUGGAUCACCUCCUUA
RNAcentral lists this ribosomal RNA (519 nucleotides) under Salmonella enterica. RNAcentral describes it as "bacterial SSU rRNA". It matches the Rfam family "Bacterial small subunit ribosomal RNA", at positions 1014 to 1533 of the family's 1533-position model. Lineage: Bacteria; Pseudomonadati; Pseudomonadota; Gammaproteobacteria; Enterobacterales; Enterobacteriaceae. The record is from RNAcentral.